This is an RNA transcript of Vigna angularis (adzuki bean), 1885 nucleotides long. It is a transcript of the gene named bZIP transcription factor 16, with no coding region annotated. The transcript has 15 exons. The record is from RefSeq and is a predicted model, not a curated record. NCBI's taxonomy places the organism in Eukaryota, Viridiplantae, Streptophyta, Magnoliopsida, Fabales, Fabaceae.
AUUAGGAGCACAACAUACCGGAGGAGUAAACGGGCAUUCCAUUUUGGUUCUUUCCGAAAUCGAAGCACUAACGAAAUCUCUGCCACGGGACAGCGACACCGUACGACCUGUGCAUUGCUUUCUCACCGUCAACAACACACCGCCACCCGCUAUCAAACCUCAACCUAAACCCAAACCAAACCAACCCUAAUUCUUCCUCAUUCUUCAAUUCUUCCCAAAAAUCGCCUUCUUCAUCGUUUCCAGAACAAAUUCCACCCGAAGUAUGUUUUCAACGGCCAUCAUGUAUAUAAGAAUGGUAUAGUGUAAAUUAUUGGAAGAUACCUAUAUAAAAGCAUGGGUAGUAGUGACAUGGACAAAACCCCUAAGGAGAAGGAGUCUAAGACACCUCCAGCUACGUCACAGGAGCAGUCUCCAACAACUGGCAUGGCCACUAUUAAUCCUGACUGGUCUAACUUUCAGACAUAUUCUCCCAUACCUCCUCACAGUUUCUUGGCAUCAAGUCCCCAAGCCCACCCAUUUAUGUGGGGUGUCCAGCAUGUUAUGCCUCCCUAUGGCACCCCACCGCAUCCUUAUGUAGCAAUGUAUCCCCAUGGUGGCAUUUAUGCCCAUCCAUCCAUUCCUCCGGGCUCUUAUCCUUUCAGUCCUUUUGCCAUGGCUUCUCCAAAUGGUAUUGCAGAUUCUUCGGGAAAUAACCCAGGCACCAUUGAAGUUGGUGCUAAACCUCCUGAGGUGAAGGAAAAAUUACCAGUCAAAAGAUCAAAAGGAAGUGCUAGUGGGGGUAGUUUGAAUAUGUGGAUUACAGGAAAAAAUAGUGAACUUGGUAAAACAAACGGAGAAUCUGCUAAUGGAAUUCAUUCCAAGAGAAAAUAUAUUGGUAGGGCAGGGUUUCCAAAUGGUGAUAGUGCAAGUGACGGAACUAGUGAAGGAAGUGGUGAGAAUUCCCAGAAUGAUUCUCAAUUGAAAUCCGGGGAGAGGCAGGACUCUUUUGAAGAUGAACCAUCUCAAAAUGGAAGUUCGGCUCCUCAAAACGGGGUACAUAGUAGACCUCAGACACUUGUUAACCAAACUAUGCCUGCCAUACCUAUAUCUACUGCAAGUGCUCCCGGAGCAAUUCCUGGUCCCACAACUAAUUUAAAUAUAGGAAUGGAUUACUGGGGCACGCCAACUUCAUCCGUCAUUCCUGCACUGCAUGGAAAGGUUUCUUCUACUGCCGUUGCUGGGGGGAUGAUUACUGCUGGGUCAAGAGAUGGUGUUCAGUCACAAAUUUGGCUACAGGACGAAAGAGAGCUUAAAAGACAAAGGCGGAAGCAGUCUAAUAGAGAAUCUGCACGCAGAUCCAGGUUACGGAAGCAGGCUGAAUGCGAUGAACUAGCUCAGCGUGCUGACGUUUUGAAAGAAGAAAAUGCCACUCUCCAAGCAGAAGUAAGCAGGAUCAGGAGUGAGUACGAGCAGCUACUUUCUGAGAAUGCUUCCCUCAAGGAGAGACUUGGGGAGAUACCUGGUGUUGCUACGCCUGGGAACGAGGAUGUUAGGUCUGGCCAGAAUGAUCAGCAUGUUACUAAUGACACUCAACAAAGCCGUCAGAAGGAGGCUGUGCAGGGUGUUCAUUAGGACCUUGCUCCCUGCUGCAUGUUCCUUUUUUAGAAAGAUAACCUAACCAAGUAGCAAGAGCAAGUUCUUGUUUUUGGAUAGCUUUCGGUUCAAAUUGUAUUGAAGGUAGGGUGUGAAUACAUGAUGGUCAUACCUUCUCUGCUACUUCAAAAGUUAGUGUUAGCAGUAAGAAGCAUGAUUAGUGAAACUAAUUAUUGUCCAUUAUAUGGAUUGCGGUGCUUCUGAGCAAAUAAUUAAUCAGGAAUAUAUGUUAAGGAAAUGGAAUGCAAGUUCA